RNAcentral lists this ribosomal RNA (253 nucleotides) under uncultured bacterium. Its description in RNAcentral is "partial 16S ribosomal RNA". It matches the Rfam family "Bacterial small subunit ribosomal RNA", at positions 524 to 776 of the family's 1533-position model. The record is from RNAcentral.
AACGUAGGUGGCGAGCGUUAUCCGGAUUUACUGGGCGUAAAGCGUGUGCAGGCGGUCGUUCAAGUGGUGUAUGAAAUCGCCCGGCUUAACCGGGCGGGGUUAGGCCAGACUGGACGACUGGAGUACGGGAGAGGGACGUGGAAUUCCGGGUGUAGUGGUGAAAUGCGUAGAGAUCCGGAGGAACCCCAGCGGCGAAGGCGGCGUCCUGGCCCGUAACUGACGCUCAGACACGACAGCAUGGGGAGCGAACGGG